GUCAAACAGCAUGGAGAGCUUGAUGUGUGAAAACCAAUGCAAAAGGUGCUGGGAGAACUCAGCCUUGAGCAACUUCCUGAAGAUGGAAUUGCCACACGUUAGCUUUGAUAAUUGCAGCAAGUUCAUUAACCUUUCUUUCCCCCAUGCCCUUGUAUCAAAGGGCACAGAUUCUUCAUUCUUUGGGUCAUACCCAGAAACUGGCUCCCACCUUCAGGACAGCAAGGCCAGGCUCUUGGAUAACAGUGGAAGUGGGCACCUCUUCUAGAGCUGGACUCAGAAAGCACCAGUGCCUGUUGGUGCAGCACUCCUGUCCUUGCAGGUGAGAUGGACAGGCCUGAUUCUUCCUCUGUGCCCUUCUAGAAAGCUGGAGCAGUGUUUGCCAGCUUCCAGUUCAACAGGGACCUCUCUUGAUUUCCCCAGCAAUGACUGCAUGGAGAGCAGGCUGACUGCUGUAAAACCACAUGUCUGUACUGUCACAUGAAAACAGACUGUUAAAAUUAAAACAGGGUAGUGGUUCGGGAGGCUUAUGACAUCAAUUUAUUCUUUCUGGCCACUUCCUUUUCUCCUCUCCAUCAUCUCCUUGGAAUUGAUCCUCUUUUUCUCAACCUGAGCAAGUUCAGACAACCAACUACAGGAAACAAAGUAUGUAUUUCUACUGCAUUCAAUGACAUUUUCUGUGUAAAGCUGUCUACUCUUUAGUGCUGAGACAUAAAGAGACUGGUUUGGAGCCUUUGCUCAGCUUCCCAGAGGAGUUCUUAAGAGUGGACAAUGAAUUCAGGGCCCCGGGCUCAGCUUUGUAGCUGUGAGCACCGUGAUUUGAGGAACACCAACUUCAGCUUUCCCAGUGCAGAAUCCUUUGAAAAGUAUUGCAACACUAAGUGGGGAACAAGCCACGUUCCAAGAAACUUCAUUAAAACAUCAGUUAUCAGAACCAAAAUAACCCAGAGGAGAGGCACAGGUAAAGAACAGAAAGGCUUUAUUAUAUGAGACAUCAUCUUACUGUUGUCACCAUACUGGGAAAACUGCUGUGGUCUCAGUUCGGGUAGUAAUGCAGGAGUAGCUCCCUGUACCUGGGCUCAUUUGGUAUCAGUGCCACAGAGUUGCAGCAUAUUCUCGAACCAUGACUAGACUGUUACUUUUGUGCAUCCUCCUUUCGGUUCCUUGCUUGACAACAAACCCCCCAGCAGCUCAAUGGAAGAGCUAUCUAUCUGUCUAUCUAUUUAUCUGUCUAUCUCUCUCCACAGCACUUCUCUGCUAUUAUUUCCCUUCAAAAUAACAUUUUUUCAGCAUUAACUUUUCAUCGAUGGGACAAAUGUGUUACAGCGAGAUACUGGCAACAGUGGCCCUGCCACAGCAGUGCCCUCUCUAGACUGAGGAUCCACAAUUACACCGUUACCACACUCAUCCCAAUUUUCUAUUUUUCUUAUUGUUUUUCUUACUCAUUUCCCAGAGCAGGCAGGGUCAGAAGCAGCUCUGUCUCAAUAAUCAACUCAGUGUAAGAGGCUUUUUACCAGCAAGCACAUGCACAGAUCCAGAACACAAGUAUCAUCCUCUCAUGUGCUUCCCGCAAACGACUGUAGUACUUCACAUUCUGAAGCCUGGUGGUGUGAGUGUUGUGCUGUACUUCAGAAUAGGUACAGGACUCUUUAGGAGUACUGCAAAAGGCCUCACCAAACGUGUCCUUCUGGUUCCUCUCCUUUCCAAAUGAUUUAUAUGUAUAUAUAUUUUAAUAAGGUCUGAACAGAAGAGUGUGAUCUGCGCUAAAGAGAAGGAAAAAACAACCAACAUUCUCCACAGCAUGGUCCAUCUUAUAAUUGAAAACAAAUAGUGGUGUGUGUGUUCAAGUGCAUACAUCAACUACUACAAUGGAGGAGCAGAAUAAAAAAAAAUAGUUCUGUAACUUACACUGGAUUAAAAAAAUUCUUCCUUUCCCAGCUCCAAAGAAGGUGUGUAAACAUUGGGGUGAAUUGCAGCAGGUUUCCUUAUUUUCCAUCUCCUGGCUUCAAAUAACAUUCAAAAAGAGCAAAGUCAAAUACUGUUUUUUGAUAGGAGGAGGCCUUCACCAGUGUUACUUUAUCUAUGUGAUUCAAACAGGCCAGUAUGAUCUCCAAUAACUAACUUCAGUCUGUUGGCAGGCACAUCACACUAGAAAAAAAUCCUUCUAGGGUAAGUCCACUUAACCUCACCUGGAACAGCUUGACAGCAAGUAUAAAGCACUCAUAGGCUACAAACCAUCGGGGGGACCAUCUGAACUGAAAAUCCAACAGAGGGGGAAAUACCCUAAGCUGGAAACUCAUGCUCAGUAAGUUCAUGGUUUGAUAUCCAACCCCUCACAUCUUUCCCUAUGGAAAAGGGGGAUUGGCCUUUCCUCUGCCUUUCUGGAGUUACCCCCUUCUGGCACCCACCAUCAGUGUGUGCUGAUUCAGUUACUUGCUUUGCCACCAGUGCCAGCACUGCAAAUUUAAGGGACUGUCCCUGUUUCUUUUAACCACAUUCCCUAUGAUUUUGGGUUAGAGAUUUGGGCACUGCCCUGUACAACAGUUUGAAUUUUGCAACUGAUGUCUUUUAGACUCCCCCAGGACAUUUACAUGAUGUAUAAAACAGUAUUUCUAGACGAAUAUCUAAGUCAGGAUUCUCUUUAGGGGGAAGUUCUUACAGCACAGAACAUCUGUAUAAAAACACAAUAGGCAGAAACAAUCCCAACCUGGAUCUCUAAAGAAGCAGUGCAUACAGAGCUACCUUUCGCUUCAGCACAGAAAUACCAGUUGGGUUCCUGUAUUUCAGCUCUUCCAAGUCUCUGUGUUCCAGGGAGCAGACAAUAACCCUACAGAAUGAGGGAAGGAGGGUUUGAGGAUUUUAAGUUCAUGUAACUACUACAGCACCUUUAGGAAUUAACACAUGGAUACGAACUAUUAAACAAAGAAAAACACAACAACAAAAAAAAACCCCAACCAAUUUGGGGUGACCCAUCUUUGGAGCAAAAUGUUUUCUUGUCAGUGUGUUAAAGGAAAACAAAUGCAACUCAGAUAUUCCAAAGUUCCAGAAUCAAAUUGGAGUAAUGUGUGAGGAAACAGGAUGAUGAAAAGACCGAAUGUGAACUAAGAUCUAAGAACUCCAGAGAUUUAUACUCAUGUGACAACAUCUGUGUUUGAAGAAAAAUGAAAUUAGUGAAAUGUACAUGAUGAAAAGCUUCCAAGCUUCCACAGCUUCUUCUACCAGCAAACAAAAACACAUUCAUGAAUCAGUGAACCACAGCAAUGGGAAGGCCCUACUGGCUUGCAGGUGGACUUGAGCUUUGAGCAGAGGAGGCAGGAGGGCACUUCUUUUAUUUCCAGUCAGACAGGCUGCGAGGAACAGAACAGUCAGGUCCAAUGCUCUGAUCCCUUUGUAGGCAUUUGUAUUUGGGACGGG
This is a long non-coding RNA of Coturnix japonica (Japanese quail), 3411 nucleotides long. RefSeq lists it as uncharacterized. The record is from RefSeq and is a predicted model, not a curated record. Lineage: Eukaryota; Metazoa; Chordata; Aves; Galliformes; Phasianidae.